Brienomyrus brachyistius is the source of this 410-nucleotide long non-coding RNA. RefSeq lists it as uncharacterized. The record is from RefSeq and is a predicted model, not a curated record. The transcript has 4 exons. Lineage: Eukaryota; Metazoa; Chordata; Actinopteri; Osteoglossiformes; Mormyridae.
UUUCGUUGAGGGGUGCGGCACAUCCUAUGGGAAGGGGCGUGUCUUUUCAUCUUUCGUUCGGUGUGGCAUUUUUGUUGAGAGGUGCGGCACAUCCUAUGGGAAGGGGCGUGUCUUUUCAUCUUUCGUUCGUUGUGGCAUUUUUGUUGAGAGGUGCGGCACAUCCUAUGGGAAGGGGCGUGUCUUUUCAUCUUUCGUUCGUUGUGGCAUUUUUGUUGAGAGGUGCGGCACAUCCUAUGGGAAGGGGCGUGUCUUUUCAUCUUUCGUUCGCUGUGGCAUUUUUGUUGUAAGGUGCGGCGCUUCCGUUGGGAAGAGUGUUUUGAGUGUAACUGUUCUGCUGUGGGGUCUGCUUCUGCAGUUCUUGGAUAUAACUGUAUUGCUGUAGAGUUUGGUUCUUCUGUUGUUAGAUGUGC